Molecule: ribosomal RNA, 484 nt
Filed under: uncultured bacterium
Lineage: Bacteria
Description: partial 16S ribosomal RNA
Rfam family: Bacterial small subunit ribosomal RNA
Source: RNAcentral
AUUGAACGCUGGCGGCAGGCCUAACACAUGCAAGUCGAACGGCAGCGGGGGGCUUGCCCCGGCAUCGAGCGGCGAACGGGUGAGUAAUACCUCGGAACCUGCCCAGUAGUGGGGGAUAACGCGGGGAAAGCCGGGCUAAUACCGCAUACGACCUGAGGGAGAAAGCGGGGGAUCUUCGGACCUCACGCUAUCAGAUGAGCCGAUGGCAGAUUAGCUAGUUGGUGGGGUAAAGGCCUACCAAGGCGACGAUCCGUAACUGGUCUGAGAGGAUGACCAGCCACACUGGAACUGAGACACGGCCCAGACUCCUACGGGAGGCAGCAGUGGGGAAUAUUGGACAAUGGGCGAAAGCCUGAUCCAGCCAUGCCGCGUGUGUGAAGAAGGUCUUCGGGUUGUAAAGCACUUUAAGUUGGGAGGAAAAGCAGUGAGUUAAUACCUUGCUUUUUUGACGUUACCCGCAGAAUAAGCACCGGCUAACUUCGUG